GCGGCGGUCGCAUAGUCUGGCCAUUGCGUCGGAUUGCUAAUCCGAUGGUGUAAGCCGCGAGGGUUCGAAUCCCUCUCGCCGCG
RNAcentral lists this transfer RNA (83 nucleotides) under Methanobacteriota archaeon. Its description in RNAcentral is "Euryarchaeota archaeon tRNA-Ser". It matches the Rfam family "tRNA". From Rfam's summary of the family: Transfer RNA (tRNA) molecules are approximately 80 nucleotides in length. Their secondary structure includes four short double-helical elements and three loops (D, anti-codon, and T loops). RNAcentral also lists the same sequence under 2 other names. The record is from RNAcentral. Lineage: Archaea; Methanobacteriati; Methanobacteriota.